ACAAACUUGGUCAUUUAGAGGAAGUAAAAGUCGUAACAAGGUUUCCGUAGGUGAACCUGCGGAAGGAUCAUUAUCGAUUCAAGGGAAAUGAGGAUGUGCUGGCCCCUCAGAAGGGACCGUGCACUCUUCUUUCCCUCAUCUCUUGCAGUUGACCCUGUGCACCUAUAGUAGGCAAGCAAGGAAUGGUUACCCGCCGUCUCUUCUUGUCUACGCUUUUUUCUAUUCAACUCCCAUUUGUUUUGGAUACGUUGUCAUUUAUUGAUAAAUCAUACAUCUUUCAACAAUGGAUCUCUUGGCUCUCGCAUCGAUGAAGAACGCAGC
This 321-nucleotide unclassified non-coding RNA is filed under the name uncultured fungus. RNAcentral's name for it is "partial contains small subunit ribosomal RNA, internal transcribed spacer 1, and 5.8S ribosomal RNA". The stretch from base 1 to 73 matches the Rfam family "Eukaryotic small subunit ribosomal RNA", at positions 1759 to 1831 of the family's 1831-position model. Lineage: Eukaryota; Fungi. The record is from RNAcentral.